Molecule: ribosomal RNA, 452 nt
Filed under: uncultured Finegoldia sp.
Lineage: Bacteria; Bacillati; Bacillota; Tissierellia; Tissierellales; Peptoniphilaceae
Description: partial 16S ribosomal RNA
Source: RNAcentral
CACGUAUUUAGCCGGAGCUUUCUUCUAUGGUACUGUCAUUAUCUUCCCAUAGGACAGAACUUUACGAUACGAAUACCUUCUUCGUUCACGCGGCGUCGCUGCAUUAGGGUUUCCCCCAUUGUGCAAUAUUCCCCACUGCUGCCUCCCGUAGGAGUUUGGACCGUGUCUCAGUUCCAAUGUGGCCGUUCAUCCUCUCAGACCGGCUACUGAUCGUCGCCUUGGUGGGCUGUUAUCUCACCAACUAGCUAAUCAGACGCGAGCCCAUCUAUGACCGAUAAAUCUUUGACCGUUGAAACAUGUGUUUCUACGAUUUUAUGCGGUUAUUAACUCCCGGUUUCCCGAGGUCUAUCCCACUGUCAGUAGGCAGGUUGCUCACGCGUACUCCGUCCCGUCCGUCCACUCUCUAUAGUAACUCUUCCACGAGCUCUGUCUACUAACUCCGUUCGUACUCG